UACAGAGGUCCCAAGCGUUGUUCGGAUUCACUGGGCGUAAAGGGUGCGUAGGCGGUCGGGUAAGUCUGAUGUGAAAUCUCACAGCUUAACUGUGAAACUGCAUUGGAUACUAUUCGGCUUGAGAGUUGGAGGGGGGACUGGAAUUCUUGGUGUAGCAGUGAAAUGCGUAGAGACCCGGAGGAACACCAGUGGCGAAGGCGGCUUCCUGGUCUGCGACUGACGCUGUGGCGCGAAAGCUAGGGGAGCAAACGGG
RNAcentral lists this ribosomal RNA (253 nucleotides) under uncultured bacterium. RNAcentral describes it as "partial 16S ribosomal RNA". It matches the Rfam family "Bacterial small subunit ribosomal RNA", at positions 524 to 776 of the family's 1533-position model. The record is from RNAcentral.